This is a long non-coding RNA of Hibiscus syriacus, 229 nucleotides long. RefSeq lists it as uncharacterized. The transcript is spliced from 3 exons. Lineage: Eukaryota; Viridiplantae; Streptophyta; Magnoliopsida; Malvales; Malvaceae. The record is from RefSeq and is a predicted model, not a curated record.
UACACAAAAAAUUUCUCAGAAUUUGAAUUCCGCAGCCAAAUUUUUUCACAAUGAUCAGCGUUCUCGCUCAGGAGCGUUUGCUUGGUGCCGCGCUCGGAACCGCGUUGACAGGGAUCGUGGUAUUUGAGCAACGGAAAUGCAUCUACGAAUCGAUUCCAGAUCAUCAAUCUCAACUGGCUGCUCAAUCGCAGGUCCUAUUUUAUUUUAUUUCUAGCGUUGAAUUUUCUGU